GAAAUGCUAGGGCUUUUUUUUAUAGCAGCCUGCAUGGCACUAUGGCUGAAACUUUGAGAAGGAGAUGUUUCCUUCCAGCUCACUUCAAGUGUUUACAUAGUUCAUCAUCAAAUUAAUUUUAGUUCAGUGCACUCGCAUUUCUUUUUAACACCAUGUCAUUUUUUCUGUCUCAGACUCGGCGGAUAACGUUGACAAAUAGGAUAGUUCAGGUACUCGCACUACGUAAUGCAAU
Pelobates cultripes (western spadefoot toad) is the source of this 232-nucleotide non-coding RNA. NCBI's taxonomy places the organism in Eukaryota, Metazoa, Chordata, Amphibia, Anura, Pelobatidae. The record is from the annotation of a GenBank genome assembly.